This 409-nucleotide long non-coding RNA is filed under the name Mus pahari (shrew mouse). RNAcentral describes it as "CHD2 adjacent suppressive regulatory RNA (MGP_PahariEiJ_G0011979.1)". Lineage: Eukaryota; Metazoa; Chordata; Mammalia; Rodentia; Muridae. The record is from RNAcentral.
CGGCCGCGCGCGAAUGCGGGAGCUCGCGGCCGGAGCGCCCGGGGAGGCCCGGGCCCACGACGCCCGUGGCUCCGCUGCGGCAGCGGCGGCGCCGGUGGCGCGCGCGGCUGGGAGGCGGCUUCGCGCCGUGGGCGGGAGGCUGCGGCGGGCGACCGGUCCUGGACACGCGAGGAAGAGCGAGCCGAUGGCGCCUGCGGUCUCGCUUCGACCCGGUAACUUACAAGAUGAUAAUUCAUGUGGUUGCCGAUGAUUCUGAGUAUACACAGCUUUUAUCCCAGGAAUGUGAAUCCUUAAAUGGAAUGAAAAGCCUAUACCAUAGACAUCGAAGCCUUUACACCCCGCUUGAAGAGUUUGAAAUGGACUUUACCACAGAAAUCAAGAUGGCAGCCCAUUAUGGGGAAUUGAGGAA